CCUACGGGAGGCAGCAGUGGGGAAUAUUGGGCAAUGGGCGCAAGCCUGACCCAGCAACGCCGCGUGAAGGAAGAAGGCUUUCGGGUUGUAAACUUCUUUUAGGAGGGAAGAGCAGAAGACGGUACCUCUUGAAUAAGCCACGGCUAACUACGUGCCAGCAGCCGCGGUAAUACGUAGGUGGCAAGCGUUGUCCGGAUUUACUGGGUGUAAAGGGCGUGCAGCCGGGAAGACAAGUCAGAUGUGAAAUCCCGGGGCUCAACCGCGGAACUGCAUUUGAAACUGUUUGUCUGGAGUACCGGAGAGGUGAUCGGAAUUCCUGGUGUAGCGGUGAAAUGCGUAGAUAUAAGGAAGAACACCAGUGGCGAAGGCGGAUGACUGGACGGCAACUGACGGUGAGGCGCGAAAGCGUGGGGAGCAAACAGGAUUAGAUACCCCAGUAGUC
Molecule: ribosomal RNA, 442 nt
Filed under: uncultured bacterium
Lineage: Bacteria
Description: partial 16S ribosomal RNA
Rfam family: Bacterial small subunit ribosomal RNA
Source: RNAcentral